AUACGGGGUGUGCAAGCGUUAAUCGGAAUUACUGGGCGUAAAGCGCGCGGAGGCGGUUUGCUCAGUCGGAUGUGAAAGCCCAGGGCUCAACCUUGGAACUGCAUACGAUACUGGCAAACUAGAGUGUGAGAGAGGAUAGUGGAAUUUCCGGUGUAGCGGUGAAAUGCGUAGAUAUCGGAAGGAACAUCAGUGGCGAAGGCGACUGUCUGGCUCAACACUGACGCUGAGGUGCGAAAGCGUGGGUAGCAAACAGGAUUAGAAACCCUAGUAGUCC
This 274-nucleotide ribosomal RNA is filed under the name uncultured bacterium. RNAcentral's name for it is "partial 16S ribosomal RNA". It matches the Rfam family "Bacterial small subunit ribosomal RNA", at positions 523 to 796 of the family's 1533-position model. The record is from RNAcentral.